GGUUAAGCGACUAAGCGUACACGGUGGAUGCCCUGGCAGUCAGAGGCGAUGAAGGGCGUGCUAAUCUGCGAUAAGCGCCGGUAAGGUGAUAUGAACCGUUAUAACCGGCGAUACCCGAAUGGGGAAACCCAGUGUGAUUCGUCACACUAUCAUUAACUGAAUCCAUAGGUUAAUGAGGCGAACCGGGGGAACUGAAACAUCUAAGUACCCCGAGGAAAAGAAAUCAACCGAGAUUCCCCCAGUAGCGGCGAGCGAACGGGGAGGAGCCCAGAGCCUGAAUCAGCAUGUGUGUUAGUGGAAGCGUCUGGAAAGGUGCGCGAUACAGGGUGACAGCCCCGUACACAAAAGCGCAUGUGCUGUGAGCUCGAUGAGUAGGGCGGGACACGUGGUAUCCUGUCUGAAUAUGGGGGGACCAUCCUCCAAGGCUAAAUACUCCUGACUGACCGAUAGUGAACCAGUACCGUGAGGGAAAGGCGAAAAGAACCCCGGCGAGGGGAGUGAAAAAGAACCUGAAACCGUGUACGUACAAGCAGUGGGAGCACAGGUUUACCUGUGUGACUGCGUACCUUUUGUAUAAUGGGUCAGCGACUUAUAUUCUGUAGCAAGGUUAACCGUAUAGGGGAGCCGGAGGGAAACCGAGUCUUAACCGGGCGUUAAGUUGCAGGGUAUAGACCCGAAACCCGGUGAUCUAGCCAUGGGCAGGUUGAAGGUUGGGUAACACUAACUGGAGGACCGAACCGACUAAUGUUGAAAAAUUAGCGGAUGACCUGUGGCUGGGGGUGAAAGGCCAAUCAAACCGGGAGAUAGCUGGUUCUCCCCGAAAGCUAUUUAGGUAGCGCCUCGUGAAUUCAUCUCCGGGGGUAGAGCACUGUUUCGGCUAGGGGGCCAUCCCGGCUUACC
RNAcentral lists this ribosomal RNA (900 nucleotides) under Salmonella enterica. RNAcentral's name for it is "partial 23S ribosomal RNA". It matches the Rfam family "Bacterial large subunit ribosomal RNA", at positions 1 to 940 of the family's 2925-position model. The record is from RNAcentral. Lineage: Bacteria; Pseudomonadati; Pseudomonadota; Gammaproteobacteria; Enterobacterales; Enterobacteriaceae. RNAcentral also lists the same sequence under 4 other names.